CCGGCUGCGGACGCGGACAGACGGCUGGCUUUCCCGAGAGGAAGGAAGAGGAAGAAUCAUUGAUCGGCUGCCUCCUGCAUGAGCCCUACUGGGGAUCGAGCCCCCCAUCACACCCGUUGGUUGACACACACUUCUUUUACUGAGGUCCUGUGGAGCCAUGCAUAACAGAUGCCUGAAUAGUAUGGGCAGUCCUUCCUUUGUCCAUAUCCAAACAGAACAACAGGCUGUUGGUUAACAGCCUCUGGCCAGUGCCUUUUUCUGACAAGGUCUGUAAAGGCAACCUAAGAGAGGA
This is a long non-coding RNA of Eptesicus fuscus (big brown bat), 292 nucleotides long. RefSeq lists it as uncharacterized. The transcript is spliced from 4 exons. The record is from RefSeq and is a predicted model, not a curated record. Lineage: Eukaryota; Metazoa; Chordata; Mammalia; Chiroptera; Vespertilionidae.